Molecule: long non-coding RNA, 549 nt
Filed under: Anas platyrhynchos platyrhynchos (common mallard)
Lineage: Eukaryota; Metazoa; Chordata; Aves; Anseriformes; Anatidae
Description: lncRNA (ENSAPLG00000029256.1)
Source: RNAcentral
GAGAAUAGUGGGUGGGGAAGGGAGAAGAAUAAAGAGAGGGUGGCUGGGAGAGAUAGAAAGAUAGAAAUAGAGCUUGAUAUACUGAAAAGUGUGAAAAAAAAUGAAAAGGACAUUAAAAUUAUCAGCAAUCAACACAAUUUCAGGUCACUCUUUGAGAAUUUAACAAUAGCAGGAGAAUAAGAAGAUAAAUGACCUGGGAAAAUCAUGGGAGAGAAAAUGUCAGAUUCAGCAGCUGCAGCUUUUUAAAUCCUAUUAGGCAGAAAAAUUGAUCUGAAGACAUCAACGCACAAAUCCUCUUACCAUGAAUGAAAAGGGGAACCUUGAAGCAGUUUAAUGUACCUAGACAAAGACAUUAUUCUCCACAGACUGCACAAGGAGUGGGGAGAGCCCUGAUGAUCUCUUAUUUUACACGCUACACAUCACUCCAAUUUCAUCUCUCCAAGCAAUGAUGUUUUCAUUAUUUUUUGUGAAAUAGAAGAAGCCUUUCUACCUUUUUUGUCUAUUACUUGCUUCAUCAAGGUUAUCAGAGGUAUGUACAAGUAACCAUUG